RNAcentral lists this small nuclear RNA (114 nucleotides) under Fundulus heteroclitus (mummichog). RNAcentral's name for it is "U5 spliceosomal RNA (ENSFHEG00000017073.1)". It matches the Rfam family "U5 spliceosomal RNA". From Rfam's summary of the family: U5 RNA is a component of both types of known spliceosome. The precise function of this molecule is unknown, though it is known that the 5' loop is required for splice site selection and p220 binding, and that both the 3' stem-loop and the Sm site are important for Sm protein binding and cap methylation. Lineage: Eukaryota; Metazoa; Chordata; Actinopteri; Cyprinodontiformes; Fundulidae. The record is from RNAcentral.
CACUCUUGUUUCUCUUCACAUCGUGUAAAACGUUUCCCUUUUACCAAAGAUUUCCGUGGUAGAGGAACAAUGAGAGUUCAUCUUAGUUUCUUGAUGCUUUGUGAAAACGGGGCU